RNAcentral lists this microRNA precursor (221 nucleotides) under Medicago truncatula (barrel medic). RNAcentral describes it as "miR2664a stem-loop (mtr-MIR2664a, mtr-MIR2664b)". The record is from miRBase by way of RNAcentral. Lineage: Eukaryota; Viridiplantae; Streptophyta; Magnoliopsida; Fabales; Fabaceae.
UUAUAAAAAAAAAAAAGUUUAAUUGUGGUGGGUUGACAGUCCAAAACAGUUUUGAACAUACAAUCAAUCAAAACAUUUAGAAUCACCACAUCAAUUAACGAUUUUAAUUCAUAUGGACCAAACGUGGCGAUUCAGAAUAUUUUGAUUGGUUGUACGUGCAAAACUGUUUUGGAAUGUCAACUCACCACCAUUAAACUCAAAAAUAAAAUACCAAUUAUGAU